GACGAACGCUGGCGGCGUGCUUAACACAUGCAAGUCGAACGGAGUGGCGAACGGGUGAGUAACACGUGGGUGAUCUGCCUUGCACUUCGGGAUACGCUUGGGAAACUGGGUCUAAUACCGGAUAGUGCAAGAUGAGCUCGCGGCCUAUCAGCUUGUUGGUGGGGUAAUGGCCGACCAAGGCGUCGACCGGUAGCCGGCCUGAGAGGGUGUACGGGCACAUUGGGACUGAGAUACGGACCAGAGGCGUACGGGGGGCAGCGGGGGGGAAUAUUGCACAAUGAGCGGAAGCGUGUUGCAGCGACGCCGCGGGGGUAAUGAAGUCCUUCGGGUUGUAAACUCCUUUCGGCAGGGACGCGGUACCUGUAUAAGAAGCACCGGCUAACUACGUGCCAGCAGCCGCGGUAAUAC
Molecule: ribosomal RNA, 408 nt
Filed under: uncultured bacterium
Lineage: Bacteria
Description: partial 16S ribosomal RNA
Rfam family: Bacterial small subunit ribosomal RNA
Source: RNAcentral